This 468-nucleotide ribosomal RNA is filed under the name uncultured bacterium. RNAcentral's name for it is "partial 16S ribosomal RNA". It matches the Rfam family "Bacterial small subunit ribosomal RNA", at positions 28 to 507 of the family's 1533-position model. The record is from RNAcentral.
GACGAACGCUGGCGGCGUGCUUAACACAUGCAAGUCGAACGGAAAGGCCCUGCUUUUGUGGGGUGCUCGAGUGGCGAACGGGUGAGUAACCCGUGAGUAACCUGCCCUUGACUUUGGGAUAACUUCAGGAAACUGGGGCUAAUACCGGAUAGGAGCUCCUGCUGCAUGGUUGGGGUUGGAAAGUUUCGGCGGUUGGGGAUGGACUCGCGGCUUAUCAGCUUGUUGGUGGGGUAGUGGCUUACCAAGGCUUUGACGGGUAGCCGGCCUGAGAGGGUGACCGGCCACAUUGGGACUGAGAUACGGCCCAGACUCCUACGGGAGGCAGCAGUGGGGAAUAUUGUACAAUGGGCGGAAGCCGGAUGCAGCAACGCCGCGUGCGGGAUGACGGCCUUCGGGGGGUAAACCGCUUUCGCCUGUGACGAAGCGUGAGUGACGGUAAUGGGUAAAGAAGCACCGGCUAACUACGUG